CCCUUAGAUGCUCUGGGCCGCACGCGCGCUACACUGGUCGAUGCAACGAGUUUCUUUCCUUGGCCGACAGGCCUGGGCAAUCUUUGAACAUCGAUCGUGAUCGGGAUAGAUUCUUGUAAUUUUUGAUCUUAAACGAGGAAUUCCCAGUAAACGCAAGUCAUCAGCUUGCAUUGAUUACGUCCCUGCCCUUUGUACACACCGCCCGUCGCACCUACCGAUUGAAUGGUCCGGUGAAAUCUCCGGACUGGCGUGAGUCGGAGCAAUCUGACAAACACCGGAAAGUUGAUUAAACCUUACCAUUUAGAGGAAGGUGAAGUCGUANCA
Molecule: ribosomal RNA, 324 nt
Filed under: uncultured eukaryote
Lineage: Eukaryota
Description: partial 18S ribosomal RNA
Rfam family: Eukaryotic small subunit ribosomal RNA
Source: RNAcentral